Molecule: long non-coding RNA, 2274 nt
Filed under: Homo sapiens (human)
Lineage: Eukaryota; Metazoa; Chordata; Mammalia; Primates; Hominidae
Description: HSALNT0393425
Source: RNAcentral
AGAUGCAGCCCAGAGAGAUGAGCAUGUAACACACAGCAAGAAUGCAGCCACCAGGCAAGCCAAGGAGAGAGCCUUCAGAAGAAACCAACCCUGCCGACACCUUGACCUCAGACUUCCAGCCUCUAAAACGAUUGAAGACAAUGCUGAUCAUACUAUCAACCAUGAAGGACUGUGCUGAGGAUUGAAUGAGAAUACAUUCAGGCCACGGAACACAGUGUGUAUAUAUUACACAUGCUCCAAAAAGGCUAGCUGCUACUAUGAAGUUGGAUAAAUUGACUCAGGAAAGGGCAGAAUGAACUUGAUAUUGUGACUGUACAUUUCAGAGAGGCCCCAAAGAGCAAAUAUUCAGAUCACAGCAUUCACUCCCGGAAUAAGCAUAUUCGAAAACCCUUUCUUUGUCAAGCACGAUACGUGGAGGGAGACUCAUUCUGUUUCAGAAAGCUGAGAGUUAAGUGGCCAAGAUAACCCCAAAAGACAAUCCUAAUAGAUGUGGUGGACACAACAGCAGAAAUAUGGCCACAGGUGUCACAUUUCCAGGUAUAGCUACUAAAUUUCCAUGGACACAAAUGUAGUGUAAAGACACAUCUAAUUAAUUUUUUAAAAUUUGCUGGAUUCUGUUAUUGCAAAACCCGGGAAUUUGGACUAUGGUAUAGUGGUGGUUGCGUAAACAUGGCGUCAUACUUAGUUUCUUGAGCCGUUGCCAGAUGUGCAGCUAUUAUGUAACAACACCCCUGAAAGGUGCUUUGAACAAAUGGAACUUUCAUGUUCCUUAACCAUAUAAAUGUCUAUGUUCAGAGCAAUACAAUGAAGAUUGCCAGAAAGACAAUUGCCCCAAGCACAUUCAUAUUUCCAGCUGACUAUACUUUUUCCAUCUGAAUGUACUUCCUGUUGUUCUUGUGGGGCUUUUAUAUAAAUCACUUCAAUUUUAAACCAGUUUAAACUUUAUGUGAGUAUAUACUGUGUAGAUUAAAAAAAUAAGCAGAAUCAACUUUCUUUUACUCAACUAAUGAUUGUAGUGGUGCUAUUUAGAUUGCAUACUACCAACAUUGUCCCUCAGGCUAAAUCUUCCUUGACAAAUGUUGGAUGUUGAGCUAUCACUUUUAUCUACCCCAUCUAAAAUGAUAGUUGCAGCCAAGAUUUCAGAAUUUAUUUACCAGCAGCAAAUUUUUACAACUAUUCAUUUAACCAGCAUUAUUGAGUACCUACAAUGUACACAGCGUAUCAGACAUGAAAUCACAAAUGGAAUUCCUCUUUUCACUUAGCAAAGGUCAACGUCAUAUUGUUUCAGCCAACCUGUUUGCUUACCGCAAUGUAGAAUACCAUCUGCACAGAGACAAAGGCCUUCAGUGCAGGUUCCUUAGAAGAACAACUGUGGAAACAUGUAAGUUUUACAACAAAAAGCCAUUGAAAUGAUCCAUGCUCUAAAGAUAUGCACCAGAAGGAUCUCACCAAAAAAUAAUAACGAGAAAAAUAUUUUGAGCUCCCAACAAGUAUAUAGUGAAGAAGGAAUACUUUCUUGCUGGGCACAGUCCACAGGACUUGUUGAGGAGGAUGGAUUUUAUUUUGUGAAAGGCCCUUUUAUGGGCAUGGAGACAUGUCUGAUACACAAAGCUGAAUUGAAGUGAAGUGGCUAGAGAGGGAGCUGAAUUUCUCUGCAUGACAAAGAGAUUGAGAAAGGUGGCGUUUCCAAAAUCGAUCUGGGAUGGAGGAAGUAUAAGGGGGACAAUUGGGACGUGGGAGAGAGGAGAGAAAACGAGGAGAUAGAGGAGAGGUUUAUAACACCGUGUCUUGAGGGGACAAGGGAAAUUCCCAGUGGGGGCAGGUCAAAGACUUAUGAGAAUAAGGAAGUCUACAGGUAUAAAGACCCCUUCAUUGAGCUCUCCACAUGAAUACCAGUUCCUUAUAUAUAUAGGUGGAGUUUUGAAGAAAUGAAGGUACACUGUCCCCACCAGAAGAGUGUUACAAUACAAGCAGGGUGGCCUAAGCAAGACCUGGGGAGAACCAUGAGCCGUUCUCCAUCAGGAGAAGCUCUUGCUGAACUAUAUGCAGAAAACCCUCCUUGCCCCAGGUUUAUCAAUUUCACUGAACACUUGAGGUCAGCUUUGUACCUCCUCAAUCCAUAAAACGUAGGUUUGAAUCACUUUAACCUAGAGGUUAAGGGAAAGAUGAACUCACCCAGCUAAUAUUUGGAGGACACAAAAAAUGACAAAGGUACUUGUAUUACAAAAGGUUCUCCAGAGAAAUACAACUCAAUAGGAUGUGUGUGUGUGUGUG